This 162-nucleotide unclassified non-coding RNA is filed under the name uncultured Orbiliales. Its description in RNAcentral is "sequence contains ITS1". The record is from RNAcentral. Lineage: Eukaryota; Fungi; Ascomycota; Orbiliomycetes; Orbiliales.
CUGGGUAAAGGCAUCCGUGCCUGCAACCCCACCCUUUGUAACCGCGGCCCGGAUUCGGCGCCUGGCGGGGGGACCCCUCUGUUCGCGGAGGGCCUCUCGCCUGCCGGAAUCAGCCAACACUGUCUUAAAAUUGAAGUCUGAGAACAAGUUAAAUAAAAAAUA